Pan paniscus (pygmy chimpanzee) is the source of this 791-nucleotide long non-coding RNA. The record is from Ensembl. Lineage: Eukaryota; Metazoa; Chordata; Mammalia; Primates; Hominidae.
AUGACCACAUCAUUUGAUGGAUCAAGCCAGGGACUGCAAGUCUGUGUUUCUGAGAGACACAUAAAGAAAAGAAGGCUUAAGGAAUCCAGAAAGAUCCAGAGUGGGGAAAUGAAACGAAAAGAAAUCCAGCCAGUGGGAAGUCGUGAAGGGAUAGUUAAACGCGUUUUGGGAGGAAAGAAAAAAGCAAAAGUGCGGUACAGCCUUUCAUUACACGUGAAAAGAAUCAUGUUUCUUUUUCUAGUUAGAAAAAGCCAAAGAUUGUGCGAUUUAUGCCCCAAACCCCCUUCUAAGGGGAUUCUCACCUCAACUUGUCUUCUGUGGUGUUUCCCGCCCCUGAAUCAGGGUUACUGUCACUAUGGCUUUCAAUUGGCCCGGCGUAGGCGCAUGCUCUGCGCGUAUUGGCCUCCGCUCCUGUCCCCAGACAAGCGGCCAUCUUGGGUCCCGCCCCUACCGUGGGGUCUUCUGGGAAUUGCAGUCCCCACUCCGCUCUGUCCCGUCACAGGAGUUUUUGCCCUCUGUUCCCGGGUCCCUCAGGCGGCCACCCAGUGGGCACACUCCCAGGCGGCACUCCGGCCCCGCGCUCCCUCCCUCUGCCUUUCAUUCCCAGCUGCCAACAUCCUGGAAGCUUUGAAGCUCAGGAAAGAAGAGAAAUCCACUGAGAACAGUCUGUAAAGACAUCCGCAGAAGCUGUUCUGGAAAACUUUCUGACCCUGAAGCACCUCAAAAAUUUUGAUCGCGUUCUCCUUGCUGUGAGUCAUCCCACACUGGAGCUCUGGAGGACUCUCUAGCAG